UUAUGGCUCAGGAUAAACGCUGGCGGCGCACAUAAGACAUGCAAGUCGAACGAACUUAACCAUUAGUUUACUAGUGGAGCGGUUAGUGGCGGACUGGUGAGUAACACGUAAGCAACCUGCCUAUCAGAGGGGAACAACAGUUAGAAAUGACUGCUAAUACCGCAUAUGCCUUGAGUAUCACAUGGUACAAAAGGGAAAGGAGCAAUCCGCUGAUAGAUGGGCUUGCGUUUGAUUAGAUAGUUGGUGAGGUAACGGCCCACCGAGUCGACGAUCAGUAGCCGGACUGAGAGGUUGAACGGCCACAUUGGGACUGAGAUACGGCCCAGACUCCUACGGGAGGCAGCAGUCGGGAAUAUUGCGCAAUGGAGGAAACUCUGACGCAGUGACGCCGCGUGCAGGAAGAAGGUUUUCGGAUUGUAAACUGCUUUAGACAGGGAAGAAACAAGACAGUACCUGUAGAAUAAGCUCCGGCCAACUACGUGCCAGCAGCCGCGGUAAUACGUAGGGAGCAAGCGUUAUCCGGAUUUAUUGGGUGUAAAGGGUGCGUAGACGGGAAAUUAAGUUAGUUUGUGAAAUCCCUCGGCUUAACUGAGGAACUGCAACUAAAACUGGUUUUCUUGA
Molecule: ribosomal RNA, 621 nt
Filed under: uncultured Bacillota bacterium
Lineage: Bacteria; Bacillati; Bacillota
Description: bacterial SSU rRNA
Rfam family: Bacterial small subunit ribosomal RNA
Source: RNAcentral